CCACACGCCUAUACCGAUUGAUGGCUCAGUGAGGCCUUCGGACUGGCCCAGGGAGGUCGGCAACGACCACCCAGGGCCGGAAAGUUGGUCAAACUCGGUCAUUUAGAGGAAGUAAAAGUCGUAACAAGGUCUCCGUAGGUGAACCUGCGGAGGGAUCAUU
RNAcentral lists this ribosomal RNA (160 nucleotides) under Schizothyrium wisconsinense. RNAcentral's name for it is "partial 18S ribosomal RNA". It matches the Rfam family "Eukaryotic small subunit ribosomal RNA", at positions 1667 to 1830 of the family's 1831-position model. The record is from RNAcentral. Lineage: Eukaryota; Fungi; Ascomycota; Dothideomycetes; Mycosphaerellales; Schizothyriaceae.